CACUCCUGCGGGAGGCAGCAGUGGGGAAUAUUGGACAAUGGGCGCAAGCCUGAUCCAGCCAUGCCGCGUGAGUGAUGAAGGCCCUAGGGUUGUAAAGCUCUUUCACCGGAGAAGAUAAUGACGGUAUCCGGAGAAGAAGCCCCGGCUAACUUCGUGCCAGCAGCCGCGGUAAUACGAAGGGGGCUAGCGUUGUUCGGAAUUACUGGGCGUAAAGCGCACGUAGGCGGAUCGAUCAGUCAGGGGUGAAAUCCCAGGGCUCAACCCUGGAACUGCCUUUGAUACUGUCGAUCUGGAGUAUGGAAGAGGUGAGUGGAAUUCCGAGUGUAGAGGUGAAAUUCGUAGAUAUUCGGAGGAACACCAGUGGCGAAGGCGGCUCACUGGUCCAUUACUGACGCUGAGGUGCGAAAGCGUGGGGAGCAAACAGGAUUAGAUACCCUAGUAGUCCCAU
This 448-nucleotide ribosomal RNA is filed under the name uncultured organism. RNAcentral describes it as "partial 16S ribosomal RNA". It matches the Rfam family "Bacterial small subunit ribosomal RNA", at positions 334 to 798 of the family's 1533-position model. The record is from RNAcentral.